UACGCAGGGGGCUAGCGUUGCUCGGAAUCACUGGGCGUAAAGGGUUCGUAGGCGGGUCUUUAAGUCAGGGGUGAAAUCCUGGAGCUCAACUCCAGAACUGCCUUUGAUACUGAAGAUCUUGAGUUCGGGAGAGGUGAGUGGAACUGCGAGUGUAGAGGUGAAAUUCGUAGAUAUUCGCAAGAACACCAGUGGCGAAGGCGGCUCACUGGCCCGAUACUGACGCUGAGGCACGAAAGCGUGGGGAGCAAACAGG
This 253-nucleotide ribosomal RNA is filed under the name uncultured bacterium. Its description in RNAcentral is "partial 16S ribosomal RNA". It matches the Rfam family "Bacterial small subunit ribosomal RNA", at positions 524 to 776 of the family's 1533-position model. The record is from RNAcentral.